AUGGGCGUAGCUGACAGGAAAGCAACGGUCUCCAAAGCCGUGACACGCAGGUUCGAAUCCUGCCGCCCGUGC
RNAcentral lists this transfer RNA (72 nucleotides) under Mycobacterium phage MrMagoo. RNAcentral describes it as "tRNA-Trp". It matches the Rfam family "tRNA". Rfam says of the family: Transfer RNA (tRNA) molecules are approximately 80 nucleotides in length. Their secondary structure includes four short double-helical elements and three loops (D, anti-codon, and T loops). The record is from RNAcentral. Lineage: Duplodnaviria; Heunggongvirae; Uroviricota; Caudoviricetes; Vilmaviridae. RNAcentral also lists the same sequence under 1 other name.